AAUAAUGUUAUCGAAGGGAUUCAACAAAAACAUUGUAUUAUUUUUCGAUACAAGGGAACUAUAUAUACAUAAUCGAAUUUGAAGGUAUUAAUUUGCAUGAUUCGGGUUUAAUAAAUGAAACGAAAGAGUUAGCUUUUGACUUUUUAUUUAUUUAUUUUAAUCGUGUGAGACUCAUCAUACGACAGUGUUUUCUUGUUAAAGAGCAAAACAGCUCCAAUCUAAUAAGUUUAGAUGAAAGUAUACUCUUGUUACUAAGCAAAUUUUUCUUAUUAAUAAUAAUAGUAUAGAUAAAAAUUCAGUUUUCCAAGCAAUUUUGCAAUACAACCGCGCAAGACUCAAAUACAUUCAAGUGAUAACAAUAUUAUAGGCCAGACGCAGGAAUAAUUUUUCUGUUUUCUUCUAGCUUAUUUUUUUAAAUUUAUUUUUCUUUUCAAAUUUAUAUGGUUAUUGCAAGGAGAGGAAAAGAAAAGAAAAGCAUCUUUAAUUAGUAUCCAAGCAGUUCUUGUCACAAAAAAGUAAAAGAAAAAGAAAAAGUAGUUCUGCUAGGCUAUGAGAUGGAAAUAAUGCAUGCCUAUAACCUAGUAGGCAAAUUGUGCUCUUAUUCAUGUGGUGGACCUCAGGAAAAUGCAGGUGGGGUUUCUGCUAGAUAAUGAAAUUGGGUAGCUUGUGGGUUUGUGAUCAAAUGGGGUCAACAACAAGAAAUUAGAACAGUUUCCCCACUAGCAUAUGAGUGAAUUUGUGACCAUAUGGUUAACGUUAUAUCAG
Molecule: long non-coding RNA, 765 nt
Filed under: Prunus persica (peach)
Lineage: Eukaryota; Viridiplantae; Streptophyta; Magnoliopsida; Rosales; Rosaceae
Description: long non-coding RNA (PPER_LNC005684)
Source: RNAcentral